This 5693-nucleotide long non-coding RNA is filed under the name Heterocephalus glaber (naked mole-rat). Its description in RNAcentral is "lncRNA (ENSHGLG00000041795.1)". The record is from RNAcentral. Lineage: Eukaryota; Metazoa; Chordata; Mammalia; Rodentia; Bathyergidae.
GACCACUACAUGGAACGACGGCCCCACUCACCUGUCCAGCAUCUUUGUGCUGGCCCUCUCCAGCUUUGCCAAGAUCUGGGGGAGCUGGGUGUCGUCGUCACAGGCCGCACCCCAGCCAAGUACUCGGGCCAGGUCAUUCCCUGUCCCCAGGGGCAGCACUCCCAGCUGACACUAAUAGAAAACAGUGGGGAAGACAUGCACUCAAACAUGGGAGAACAAGUCGCCACCCUGCUGCCCACUCGUGGCCUGCAUCGACAGCCUUACUAAAUGAGUACGAGAGAGACCUGUCCAGAAGUGUGUGGCCUGCACUUCCCGGCAGAGCCCACUGGAGGGGACAGAUGUCUUUGUGAUGCAGCAGCAGAUGCCAGGGUCACGGGCCCCUCAUCUGCAGAAGCCCACCUCUCAGGUGUUCCCUACCCUGACGACCUACCCUCCCAGACCUCCGGGGCCUAGGUGUCCAAAGCCCUUCCUUUCCUCUUGCCUGUUAGGCACACACAUGAAGGACAGUCUGUAACGCCCCACCUGUCUCGUCCACUCCAGCAUCCAACUGACCAAGGCUAAAUUCACCUUCCAGAAUCAUUAGUAUCACUCCAUGCCUCUUCACACAGCUCCGAUGGCUUUUAAAGUCUUGUCACAAUGAACAGGCCAGGACCACCCACCAAGCAGAUGCCCAGGCCCAAUAUGCAUCCUCCACCUGCCACUGCCCAGAGCCUCACCCUGUACCUGGCAUUCCCACCCCAGAUCCUCCCCCCAUCCCUGCAUGCCAGGUCUGUGCUCAGGGUCCCCGAGAUGGGGCUGCCCGAGCUCUCCAGCAGUCAAUGCUGAUGACAGUGACCAGCCCAAGCACAGCUGUGGGGGUCACAGGUCCUGAGGCUGGGAGCAUGCCUUGCCCUGCCUACAGCACUGCACAGCCCUGUGCCCUCCCCUGCCAACCUAAGGGGACAGCAGCAUGACAGGGGCAGCACAGGAGGCAGGAGCAAACACUCAAGGGCACACAGACAGGAGGGGCUGGGGCUCAGCAGAGGCUUCCAGGAGCUCAUGGAAAAAGAAGCAGGCAACGCACCAAAGGUUUGGGGUGUUCCAGGUGCCAAGGUGCCACAGAGAGAAGUGGCCAGUCAGAGCUCAGGACACAGGAGGGCUAUGAGGGAAGAGGAAGCAGACAAGCAGAAGGGCCAGAUUGAGGCUCUGGUGAGCUCCGUGGUCAGGUUGGACCUGCCCAUUGUGGGGCUGAAGAGGGGCACCCAGGUGCACGGUGGACAGAUGGGGCUGUGAAUAGGCAGCGGCUCAGCAAUACACAGAUGGCCUGGACAGGGAGGAGGCAGCAGAAUGGCACCCUAAAUUGCACACAGGGAAGGAGGAUGACAUGGAAUCAAGAGCAACUGAGACUUCCACUCAAGACACCUGGAUGGACCAUGGCUUCAGACUGCACAGAAAGGCCUGAGGGCGGGGGACAACGUGGGGCUGGCGAUCUGCAGCACUGAGCCAGGAGGCCCAGGAAAUCCCAGGGGAGACGUGCUGGCAAAGCCCCUGCAUGGCACUGAGGCUUCCUCUGAAGAAGCGUGUGAAGGAGGGGGCCCAGGAGGCUCUGCCAGCAGGACAUUAAAGGGAGCCAGGAGAGGAAAUGCUACCAGGCAAGGGGGGGUCCAGGGAAGCCAGGGGAGGGGAGGGAGUGGCUGGAGCACUGAGGGACUCAUAGAAAUUGGGGGAAAAAAAUGCUCACGAAAGUCAUUCGGGUGAAUGGAUGAAAUGAAUCCCUAGAUUUUACUGUGUUCUCAACUAGUGAACUCUGAAAUGGACAGUAAUCCACCAAACCAACAAAACUAUGUGGACUGCUCUGGCCCACCACUAGUAGGUGCUGCUUCCCUUUCCUGAGCUCUGGCCUGGCCUGGCUGGCCUGGCAGGGGUGGGUCCUGGCGUUACAUACCUAUGACACAGCCAGCCACAAGCAGGAUGCUAGCUCACUGAAAAUAUGCUCCAGGGACAGAGAAGUUAAGCUGGUUUUUUUUAAAAGGACCCUAACAAUGGGCUGGGGUUGUAGUUCAGUAGUAGAGAGCCUUCUCGGUGUGUAUGGGGCAGAAGGGUGGGGGCAUAACCAACCCAGAGUUAAGACACCUCCAAUCAAUCAUCUGGUAAUCCGACAAUCUUGGAUCAGGGUCAGGUGUCUCAACAGGACAAAUGUCAAAAACCAUGAAGGAAAGGAUGACAAAUGACAAACUGGGACACAAAAUCUGCGAUGACAGACAAGUUAAUAUGACAAUCAGAUAUCAAUUUUUUUUUUUUUUUGGUACCGGAGAUCGAACUCGGGUCCUUGCGCUUACGCAGCAGGCAGCGAAACCACUGAGCUAAAUCCCCGGCCCCAGAUAUCAAUUUUUUUAAAUAAACUGAAUUUUACACAAGAAAAUGAGAAAAACGUGAAGACAACACAUUUAAAACUUUGUUGUCAAAUGAGACAAUGCCUGACUUAACCAUAAUUAAAGAAAUAAGACUUUUUAUUUGCUUAGUUGGUCAGAACUGAAAUGCGAGCCCCAGUCGCAGAGGGCAUGUGGGCUGCACAGCCCUGACAGAGGGAAUCAGGGUCCUGGAGGCCCCUGGAAAAACCAAGGUGUCCACCUGAGCACCACUCGCAGGCGGUGAGCAGCCCCUGCCCAGUCCGUCACUGGGACACCCACACGGAGAGGCUGUGGUGCGGCACAAGGCACCGUGACAUCUACUGAGGACAGAGUGCAGGGAGGGGCAAGCAGGGGUAGCGAGAGUCUGCUUCAAACCACGUCAUGCACUAUGCAUCUGGACACAAGUCUGAGACAGCUACAGAGUUGUCACAGUGACUAAUCACCGGGGGGGGGGGAGCUGGGAGUAAAUACCCAAUGAAUAUGCAAUCUGGAAAAUCUAUUUUUAUCUUAAUACAAAAACUAGAUCUAAUGAGCCACACUGAAACCUGAGAAGCUGAAGCACCUUCCUUCCCCUCCCCCAGGCCAGAGGUGCCACGCAAGAGCGGGGUCACACCACUGCUUGGUGAAGAACCAGGCAGGGAGGACAGAAGCCCCCAGACCUGCAGGCCCCUGGCCCCUGAAGUAGUUCCCUUUACCCAGUCGAACUUCCCGUGCGUCAGCCACAUAGGACCCAGGGCUCCUGGGAUGCCUUGGGGCUCCUGUCUUGCUCCCCCUCCUGCCCUCCGGCCACAAACUGCACAACCUCCAACCCUUUUACUGGCCCAGCCAGGGGCUGGAGCCCUGAACCACACGGGCAGAGACUGCUCCACUCUCUGCCCUGGCCCCUCCACCCAGGCUGGGCUCCCCCACCAGGCACCUGCUUGUGAAGGUUGAGGCUGUCGAUUUCUGAGAGGACCCAGCCAACACUACCAUCCCCGCCACAAACCAGAAUCCGGAAGGUAUCAAACUUCUGGAAUAACCGCAAGCUGCAGAGAAAAGAGAGUCAGUGAAGACAAUUUGCAGUCCUGGGGAGCCACUGCUCCUGUGCUGACUCCCCCUGGGUCAGACCUCCAGCCCUCCAGCCAGGGCCAGGUUCCACCCCACAGAAGAGGCUGGAGACACAACACCCUGAGCAGCACCAGACUCCACACAGCAUCCAUGGGUGCCAUGCCCCUGCCACCUAUAACUGUCCCCUGUUGUGCCCCUGCGCUGCCUUGCGUUGUGAGCCUUGGCACUCAACCGCAGGCCCGGCAGUCAGGUCUCUGCCCAGCACUCUGUAUGUCCUCUGCCUGUCCCCUCUACAGCAAUUACACCACAGGUGAGGUGACCCAGACCCACUCCCCUUGUAAGUCUUUCUCUGUCUGCUUCCUGGGCUCCUGCUGAUCACUUGCCCCCCUAUGCAGGGGGCUGACCUGGGGCACCCCAGCUGUUUCCCACUCAUUCCUCAACCUUCUCCUGCCUCAGCAAUAGCACCAGUGCUGACGACCCUGAAUCCACAGCCCCACACACCUGCACCUGGUCACCAGGACUCCCACCUAGGGUCCCAUGGUGUCUCCAGCAGGACAUGUCCCUCCUCGAAGACAAGCCCAGCUUGCCGGCCAGCCCCCUUCACGCUGUCCCCUCUGCCCUCACUGUGCCUAGCCAGGCUCGGCUGGCCUGAGUCCCUUCAAGCAGCUCACCUGAGGGUGCUCACCUGAGGGUGCCCACCUCAUCUCCAGGCAAGAGUCAAACUUCUCAGUGAGCACUUCAGGCCUCCCUUGCCAGCUGCUGCCUGUGUUCACCAGGCCUGGCCCAGCACCUCACCCAUGCAUGUGGGUGGAAAUGGGCAGGGAGCACAGCAUGCUCUCCUGCUGUCUCUUCACAUACUUUUCUUUUUUCUUCUGCAGUACUGGGGAUUGAACCCAGGACCUCUGCACUGAGCUACAUCCUCAUCCCUUUAUUUUUUAUUUUGAGACGGGGUCUCACUAAGUCGCCAAGUCCCUCAAACUUGCAGUCUUCCUGCCUCAGCCUCCCAGAGGGCUGGAAUUACAGGCAUGUGCUGCCACACCCAGGUGCAUCACACACAUCCUGAACUCGACUACAAAUUGUGGAGUUCUAUGUACAUGCCAGAAUUAAUAUUUUAUUAUUCUCCAGCUCCACUGUGCAGCUGCCCUGCCCAAAGCCAUAGCAAAGCAGUCAGCCAGUAACCCCUGGCAGCCCAUUAAGCGUACCUGAACUGCCCAGCCUAGCGCAACGAGGGACUCGUGACACCUCCACUUUCCCUUUCUUAACUGAGGCACAAGCGGACGAAACCCCGUGAGCCUGCAGGGCUAGGAGCACUCCCUCUGAGCAAACAGGCUGUCUUGUAGGGCUUGUCCAGCAGCCUCACGGCAAGUGGGGAAGCUGACCCGCAACGCACAUGAAGGACCAGGGUACACAGAACAACAAGGAGCCGCACACGCCCCACGCGGGGUGUCGGCCCAGCUCAAGGUGCCACAGCAGCUGGCCAGCCACCGAGCACAGCCACACUCUGCCUCCCUGAGAGUCCGCAUGCCUCUCAGAGCCCUGCCUUGAACCAGCACUCCCAAUGAGGCAAAUGGCAAAACUUACAGAAGCACACCGUUUCUACAAAGGUGAGCAAAGUUCUAACUGACAGAACACACAAGGGCCCCCAGCCUGCAGAUGCAAUGCGUGCACCCUGGGCUCCUCAUGUGCCAAGGGGAAACAGCCUUGCCCCACUGGAGAGAAGGUCUUUCUGGGUCCAGAGCAGCUGGCAAGGAGCACUGGCAGGUCUGUGAGCGCUAACGAGGAAACAUACCGCGCUGCGCCGGACACGUGCACAGCAGGCUGCACAACAGCAGCUGAAGUGGGCCCUAGCCAGUUUAGGUGUGUGUGCAUGUGUGUACACAUACAUGUGUAUGUGUGUACAUACACGCACCCGUGCAAACCUCCAUCGAUUAUUAAGAGCAGGUCCCUCCCUCUUUGAGUAGAAUUCGUAGAAGGGCAGUUCAAGACAAACUUCCUAUUUGAAAUUUUCUGUACCUCUGAUCUUUUAAAUAUAAGCAAGCCCUAUUUACAAAACAGCAAAACUCCAAAGAAGAUGUUUUACAGGCCUCCUACCCAAGGUGCGGUCCUCCGUUCAUGAGGUCGAAGACCUGGGCAGGGUUCAAUAGCUGUUUGAAUCUUCUGAGGAACUUCACGCCCUGGUUGUCCCCACUUUUAGAAUUGACGAAGACCAGCAGGGGACUUGUGCAAGACGGGGGACAGGUGGCCUUCCAGAACCCU